Molecule: long non-coding RNA, 305 nt
Filed under: Trifolium pratense (red clover)
Lineage: Eukaryota; Viridiplantae; Streptophyta; Magnoliopsida; Fabales; Fabaceae
Description: long non-coding RNA (TPRA_LNC000083)
Source: RNAcentral
GGCAAAAGUUAAUAUCCAUAAGGAUAUUUUUAUGCACAGUGCAUAAGCUGGUGACAGCCAUCCGAUGGUGAUUUUUUUAUGACACGUGUAUGGAUCUGAAGGUCUCACAUCUGACCCCGAGUCACACAGGAUCACAGUCUCAAGCUCUCUCAAGGUCUUACCAUCGCGAUUCUCUCUGAAUCUCGCCGUCUCGCCGUCGUCUUCUCCCUUCGUAAUCUCGCCGUAAUCUCGCCGUCGUUCGCCGUCGUUCGCUGUAAUCUCGCCGUAAUCAAAUGGUACUAGAUUCCUCCUUUUUCCAAACCGCA